This 253-nucleotide ribosomal RNA is filed under the name uncultured bacterium. Its description in RNAcentral is "partial 16S ribosomal RNA". It matches the Rfam family "Bacterial small subunit ribosomal RNA", at positions 524 to 776 of the family's 1533-position model. The record is from RNAcentral.
UACGAAGGGGGCUAGCGUUGUUCGGAAUUACUGGGCGUAAAGCGCACGUAGGCGGCUUUGUAAGUCAGGGGUGAAAUCCCGGGGCUCAACCUCGGAACUGCCUUUGAUACUGCAAGUCUCGAGUCCGAUAGAGGUGAGUGGAAUUCCUAGUGUAGAGGUGAAAUUCGUAGAUAUUAGGAAGAACACCAGUGGCGAAGGCGGCUCACUGGAUCGGUACUGACGCUGAGGUGCGAAAGCGUGGGGAGCAAACAGG